RNAcentral lists this transfer RNA (72 nucleotides) under Marmota monax (woodchuck). It matches the Rfam family "tRNA". From Rfam's summary of the family: Transfer RNA (tRNA) molecules are approximately 80 nucleotides in length. Their secondary structure includes four short double-helical elements and three loops (D, anti-codon, and T loops). Further hydrogen bonds mediate the characteristic L-shaped molecular structure. tRNAs have two regions of fundamental functional importance: the anti-codon, which is responsible for specific mRNA codon recognition, and the 3' end, to which the tRNAs corresponding amino acid is attached (by aminoacyl-tRNA synthetases). tRNAs cope with the degeneracy of the genetic code in two manners: having more than one tRNA (with a specific anti-codon) for a particular amino acid; and 'wobble' base-pairing, i.e. permitting non-standard base-pairing at the 3rd anti-codon position. The record is from Rfam by way of RNAcentral. Lineage: Eukaryota; Metazoa; Chordata; Mammalia; Rodentia; Sciuridae.
GAGGAUAUAGCUCAGUAGUAAAGCUCUUGCCUAACACGCACCAGGCCCUGGGUUCAAUCCCCAGUACCUCCA